GGCCGCCCACCAGCACCGGCAGGUAGCUUUCGCCAGGGCCAUUGCCUACUCCGUGUGCCCCCCGCCGUGCCGACCCCCUCCUCCAUGGCGGCGCCUUUGUCCCCGACGACACCCAGCAGCGGCCCACUCCCGGUAUACCCUCCCCCUUUUCUCUCUCUCUCCCCCCCUCUCUCUCUCUCUCGUCGGUUCUUGGAUCGAGGAGACGCCCUUGCUCGCUCCUGAUUUGAUUUGCUCAUUCCCGUGGGUGUCGCGGUUUUUGAUGUUCAGGCAUCCCGGAGAAGGCAGCGGCUGCCAAGAAGAAGAAUGCGGCGACCAUCUACUACGUCGUGUAAGAUCUGCUCUCCCAUGAACUAAAACGAUGGGGUAAUCUUGCUAGCCAGGUUUCUUGGCUGCUUGUCUUGAAUCAAUUAGAUGAAUUCUGAUUGAUUUCAUUCCCCUUCGAAAAAUCCUGAUUAGUUUCUUGGUUCCGUUGUCUGUUGGCUGCAAUAGGACGCACUCUCAGAUAACCCAGGUGGUCCGGGAGCUGCGCCAAGAUGAUGGCCAUCUUGGUAGCUAAAAUGUUACCAUCUCAGUGCAUUCCCUGCCUCUUUUUUCUCAUUCAGAAAAGGAAAUGCAUUAUCCAACCAAUGUCAUGUAGCAGUGGCAGAAAUGACAACGGCUCGUCUCAGUGCAUUCCCUGCCUCUCAGAUAACCCAGAAUUGUCAGGAGAGCAAUGGACAUUGAUAUCACUGGCUCAAUUGUUAUUCUUGAUGAAGCGCAGUAAGCCCCUGAGUCUCCAGACCAAUUAUUCUAUUUCAGUGUCCAUCAAUGGUUUCCUUAGUUGCAAGACAACGGCUCCCCAUGUUACCGAUCCGGUGUUGCUGUGCAUGAGGACAUGGGGAAGGUGUAACAAGGCAGCGCUUGUGUUGCAGUGGAGUGGAGUCAGCCAUCUGGAUGUUUGCAGAUCAGCCGAAGAAGAGAGGAAGGAUCUUGAGGAAGAGUCAAGAACAAGGUGAACAUCUUGCCCGUCGCAACCCGACGGCUGAGGCGGCAAUGAGCAGCGCCCAGCUGGAAGAGGAUGUCAACCUUGAUAGUGCUGCUCUUGAUUAUUUGCUUUAUGUUUUUGAUUGAGCCGAGCGAGGAGAACCAACACUAUUUAGCUUUUGGGGUCUCUGUUUCAAAUGACUCGACGUGGCCUUGGCGACACUGGCUUGUAUAGGAAGAGGAUGCUGAUGACUCCUGCUAGAGAGCUCAUCGACGACUGCAACAAGCAGUCCCAAGGGAAAAGGAGCGAUCACCCCACCGAAUGUUUUUCAUCGAUCUGGGGGAGGAGCUGGACCGAACGAUUCGCCCCAGGCCCCCACGCGAACAGUUGCCCCUGCAGGCAAAAACAAAACUUUGACUAGGCCUUUACAGCCUCCAAUUAGGCUAAAAAAUGGCCCUGUUUAUUGUGACGCCUCAACACUUGGAUCAUCGCUCGAGGUUAUCGCUUUUGAGUUUCAGGUGAUAGGUUCUUUUUAAUUGAUUUUUUGGAAAUCAUGAUGCUAAAUAUAUGGAUUAUGUUUCAUGUGUCUCUCCUAUUGCCUUUUUACUAUAUGAUUAAAAUCCAUACCUGACAACAAACAUUCUUAAACAGAUCCAUUUAUCAAGGAUGACUCUGCUUGAUGUCGCCGCAUACCAGCAGAAGAUAAAGCUCAGCCAUAGACUGGAAGACUGGGGCUAUAUAGAUUGCUUUCUAAAACCAAUGCAGAUCACCCUGCUGAAGAAGAAGGAGAGGAAGUUAGAAAUCAGUUUUCAGUUUUACAGGUGCAAAAUCAACUCAUUCCACUGUAAUACUGGACAUCCAGAUGUCCAGGAUGUCGGAAGCAUCGGCGUUGCAUUCAUGAAUCUGACAUACACAUAUAAUCUGCAUGGUGCUACUUAAAAUUUAUGAAUGGUUUGUCGGCAUGUUACUGGGAUUUAGAGGCAGAAACGUCUUACUC
Molecule: non-coding RNA, 1961 nt
Organism: Triticum urartu
Lineage: Eukaryota; Viridiplantae; Streptophyta; Magnoliopsida; Poales; Poaceae
Source: RefSeq, a predicted model, not a curated record